Small nucleolar RNA from Myripristis murdjan (pinecone soldierfish), 91 nucleotides. Ensembl annotates it as small nucleolar SNORD12/SNORD106. NCBI's taxonomy places the organism in Eukaryota, Metazoa, Chordata, Actinopteri, Holocentriformes, Holocentridae. The record is from Ensembl.
GUGUGGUUUAUGAUGAACAAUCUUUCCCCGACAUAUCGACCAUGGUGAAAUAGAUGUGUAAAAAUAAGCCAAAUUGCUCUGAAAACCACAA